This 514-nucleotide ribosomal RNA is filed under the name uncultured bacterium. Its description in RNAcentral is "bacterial SSU rRNA". It matches the Rfam family "Bacterial small subunit ribosomal RNA", at positions 30 to 518 of the family's 1533-position model. The record is from RNAcentral.
UGAACGCUGGCGGCGUGCCUAAUACAUGCAAGUCGAGCGAGAAUCAGUGAAGCAGAGAUUCGUCAAAGCGGAUCUGAGGAAAGCGGCGGACGGGUGAGUAACGCGUAGGCAACCUGCCCUUAGCAGAGGGAUAGCCAUUGGAAACGAUGAUUAAAACCUCAUAAUGCAGUUUCAACACAUGUUGGGAUUGCCAAAGAUUUAUCGGCUAAGGAUGGGCCUGCGUCUGAUUAACUAGUUGGUGAGGUAACGGCUCACCAAGGUGACGAUCAGUAGCCGACCUGAGAGGGUGGACGGCCACACUGGGACUGAGACACGGCCCAGACUCCUACGGGAGGCAGCAGUGGGGAAUAUUGCGCAAUGGGGGAAACCCUGACGCAGCGACGCCGCGUGAGCCGAAGAAGGCCUUAGGGUCGUAAAGCUCUGUUGUAAGGGACGAAUGUUUAUCUGGCGAACAGUCAGAUAAAGUGACGGUACCUUACCAGCAAGCCCCGGCUAACUACGUGCCAGCCGCCGC